UAUCAUAUCAUUUUCUUACAUAAAGAGUCCAAAAAAAAGCGGCGCGUUUGCGAUAGUUUGCUCUCUCAUGGCGCGUGGUCUUCCAGGGGUUUAUAGCCAUUUCCUCUGUAAAACAAAAACCCUAGAAAUCAAAUCAGUGACGAUGGUGUUGAGAAGCCUAACCAAUUAUUCGAAAACUUCACCAUCGUUAAACCACAAAUUGAGAUGGAUAUCGAGCUUGAAAGUGGUGUGGAAGAAGGACACGAAGCUGGACGAAGCCAUCGAGCGGGACAAGCGCUACAACCUCUGCGCUCGCGUCGUCAAAG
This 305-nucleotide long non-coding RNA is filed under the name Brassica rapa (field mustard). RNAcentral's name for it is "long non-coding RNA (BRAP_LNC007321)". Lineage: Eukaryota; Viridiplantae; Streptophyta; Magnoliopsida; Brassicales; Brassicaceae. The record is from RNAcentral.